RNAcentral lists this long non-coding RNA (288 nucleotides) under Trifolium pratense (red clover). RNAcentral describes it as "long non-coding RNA (TPRA_LNC003834)". The record is from RNAcentral. Lineage: Eukaryota; Viridiplantae; Streptophyta; Magnoliopsida; Fabales; Fabaceae.
UGGAGGGUUCUUCAGUGAGAAAUUGCUGCCCACUUCCAGUGGUAGAGUUUGUUUUUGACGGCGAGUCGGUGAAUGGUCUCAGUCUCAGAUCUCAAUUUGUAUGACGAUACAGUACGAUAUUUGUUUAUGAAUUAAUUAUGUAAACGUCUCACAUCUCAAUUCUUUUUUAUUUUGGCAUCACACCGUUUGAUGCUUUGUACUACUCCUAUAUUAAAAGUAACACUUAUACUUGACAAAAAAACAAGUAACACUUAUAAAUUAAUUAAUAUUAUAUGUACACAAAAAAUU